Molecule: ribosomal RNA, 253 nt
Filed under: uncultured bacterium
Lineage: Bacteria
Description: partial 16S ribosomal RNA
Rfam family: Bacterial small subunit ribosomal RNA
Source: RNAcentral
UACGUAGGGGGCGAGCGUUGUCCGGAAUCAUUGGGCGUAAAGAGCGUGUAGGCGGCUCGGUAAGUCCGCUGUAAAAGUCAAAGGCUCAACCUUUGAAUGUCAGUGGAUACUGCCGGGCUAGAGUCCGGAAGAGGCGAGUGGAACUCCUGGUGUAGCGGUGGAAUGCGCAGAUAUCAGGAGGAACACCUAUUGCGAAGGCAGCUCGCUGGGACGUAACUGACGCUGAGACGCGAAAGCGUGGGGAGCAAACAGG